GAUGAACGCUGACAGAAUGCUUAACACAUGCAAGUCUUUGGCGAAUCUGUGCUUGCACAGGCUAGCCAAGGCGGACGGGUGAGUAACGCGUAAAGAACUUGCCCUGCAGACAGGGAUAACAGACGGAAACGACUGAUAACACCUGAUACAGUUGCCGGCACGCAUGUGCCUGGCAAUGAAAAGAGAUGCUGCAGGAGAGCUUUGCGUCCUAUUAGCUUGUUGGUGAGGUGACGGCUCACCAAGGCGAUGAUAGGUAGCCGGCCUGAGAGGGUGAACGGCCACAAGGGGACUGAGAUACGGCCCUUACUCCUACGGGAGGCAGCAGUGGGGAAUGUUGGACAAUGGGGGCAACCCUGAUCCAGCAAUUCUGUGUGCACGAAGAAGGUUUUCGGAGUGUAAAGUGCUUUCAGCAGGGAAGAAGAAAGUGACGGUACCUGCAGAAGAAGCGACGGCUAAAUACGUG
Molecule: ribosomal RNA, 463 nt
Filed under: uncultured bacterium
Lineage: Bacteria
Description: partial 16S ribosomal RNA
Rfam family: Bacterial small subunit ribosomal RNA
Source: RNAcentral